GACGAACGCUGGCGGCGUGCUUAACACAUGCAAGUCGAACGGUAAGGCCCUUCGGGGUACACGAGUGGCGAACGGGUGAGUAACACGUGGGUGAUCUGCCCUGCACUUCGGGAUAAGCCUGGGAAACUGGGUCUAAUACCGGAUAGGACUCCGGACUGCAUGGUCUGGGGUGGAAAGCUUUUGCGGUGUGGGACGGGCCCGCGGCCUAUCAGCUUGUUGGUGGGGUGAUGGCCUACCAAGGCGACGACGGGUAGCCGGCCUGAGAGGGUGACCGGCCACACUGGGAUUGAGAUACGGCCCAGACUCCUACGGGAGGCAGCAGUGGGGAAUAUUGCACAAUGGGCGCAAGCCUGAUGCAGCGACGCCGCGUGAGGGAUGACGGCCUUCGGGUUGUAAACCUCUUUCAGCAUCGACGAAGCGAAAGUGACGGUAGGUGCAGAAGAAGGACCGGCCAACUACGUGCCAGCCGCCGCGGUAA
Molecule: ribosomal RNA, 478 nt
Filed under: uncultured bacterium
Lineage: Bacteria
Description: partial 16S ribosomal RNA
Rfam family: Bacterial small subunit ribosomal RNA
Source: RNAcentral